GCGCUCCGUGCACGGAGUGAACAUUUUGCCACGUUUCGCAUAUAUUUUACCCUUUUUAUGUAUAGGGCCUUCGUAUAUUUUCAUGCAAGCAGUUCCCUGUUUAACCACGUUCUAUGCUUGUAUGAUCAGGUACCGUUUCUGACACUAUGAUAUGCCACCCCCAACGAAUUUGACUUCUUCCUUUGUAGUCAUGCCGGGAUUCAAGUAAAUUUGAUUUCCAUUGAGUAUUGUUUAGAUACGUAGGAUAUUUUGCUUUAUAAUUCUAAUCGAUUUUUGCAUUUCCAAUCAGGGAACUAGCCGUCCAACGCGCUACCAUGUGCUAUAUGAUGAGAACAGAUUUAAUGCAGAUGCUUUACAAAUGCUAACCAAUAGCUUGUGUUAUACGCAUGCCAGUCCACUUUUGGCGUUGUUAUACUCAAAAGAUUGCAGGAUAUGACUUGAUCACUGAAAUUUGCAAAGUUGUAUCACUAAGUCUGACUUGAGAGGGGAAAAGAUCCCAAGGGAACUGCAAAUAGUAUAAGAUGCAUAACCUUCCCAAGAGAUGAUCUCCUUAUGAAAAAAUAGAACCCAUCUUGGAUGCAAUAUAUGUAAUUGUUUAUAACUUAAAUUUAUAUCAAAAUUCUAAUCACACCAAAUAGAGGCUUACUUUAAAAGCCAACUUUCCAAGAAAACUGCUUGUCUAGAAUGCUGAGAAUCUUCUUUAUUUAUCAACAUCACUUGUUUAAUGAACACUGCUACAUGUACACUAUGGUGUACACUUUAGUUUA
Molecule: long non-coding RNA, 767 nt
Organism: Olea europaea var. sylvestris
Lineage: Eukaryota; Viridiplantae; Streptophyta; Magnoliopsida; Lamiales; Oleaceae
Exons: 2
Source: RefSeq, a predicted model, not a curated record